CCCCUCUCAGGGUCACACCUGGAGAGCUCCCAGUACUCUACCAGUCUCGACUACAGGAGGGAAAGUCAGGCAGAGGCCUAUCCAUUCCAUUCCUAGCUUGGGCAGUGGCUAGUGAGUAGAAGGCAAACUGCUACCAGU
This 138-nucleotide small nucleolar RNA is filed under the name Ornithorhynchus anatinus (platypus). Lineage: Eukaryota; Metazoa; Chordata; Mammalia; Monotremata; Ornithorhynchidae. The record is from RNAcentral.